GGGCAGUCGCGGGCCGUGACCGCUGCCGGGCUCCGGGGCGUUCCGGUGCAGCCGGCGAUCGCUGCGCGGUUCCUUCCGCUCCGCUGCCAGCGCUGGUGGUGCUACGCAGCCACACGCCCUCGGCGUCCACCCCUCCGCGGCCUUCCCGUCACGCCGCAGAGGCCUUUGCCGAGGGCACGUCCGGUCCCCGCCGGCACCGCGGGUGGCGGUGUCGUUCCGCUCAUGCCUGCGGCCGCCAUCUCCUUCCUGACACCCCCUGGGCCUGGCGCCCCUGCCCAGCCCGGAGAGAGCGAGUUUCCAGCACGGGCACCAGGAGGUGGCUUUGCCUAUCUUUGGAGGCAGCCGGAGGAGGUGGCUGGUAACCGGAGAACAGGCUAAAGAUGGACACAGCAGCUCAGCAGCUGACAGGACCCGGCGCCUGCAUUAUCUCGAGAAGCAUUUCUGUCCUGCCCCUGCACCCAGCAGAGGGGAUGGGCACUGCAGGCUGGGCAGAGGACCUCCAGCACCCACCGUCCUACCAGCACCUGGCAUGGAGGCACUGGCAGCACCCCAGUGCUCAUACUCAGCUCAGGGCAACCUGUGACUCCUCUUGACCAACAGCUCUCAGUUUCUUCAACAGUUAUAGAAGCAGCUAAAAAUUUCCUGAAAAAGAAGGGAAAUGACUUCCCAGAGUCACAGGGCGAAACCUGUGCUGACCUUCCCCAGCCUCGAAAGCACCAUCAUCUGCUUGACAGAGGCAACAGCAGACCAAAGCAGUACACAUGGCUAAUAUGUCCUUUGAUGCAUGGUCUUGUGCAACCCAGGGAUGAAGAUAAUUGUCAUCACAGAAGAAGAGCACAAAAUGUUACAUGGGUCCCCUGUACCCAGGAGGCUCCCUGCACCCAUUCUGGGACCCAAAGGUUUUCCUUUACAAAACUCUUCAGAUCAAAGGUUUUACUUAAUUUCUGCAAGCAUCUGCAACAAAUACUCUUUUCUUUUUGUUGUUCCUAUUUGGGGGACAGCUGGACACCUCCGUUUCCUGGGCACUGUCCUGACCUGCCAGAGCACACAGCACCAGGAGAGCAUUUCUGCUCAGAAAUUUGGUUUGACAUAAGCCCUUGGCACUACCAGACAGGGCAAAGGACAAGUCAUGGAGAUAGCAGCUGCCCAGGGAGUCUCUUGGGAGGGGAACCCACAGGGCACACUGUGGCUGGUGUAACCCCGUUCCCAUCCCAUGAUGUUGGUUUAAUUUAGUUAAUCCCCCUACAACAGCCUGCAGGAUCUGCUGCCACCCAAGGGGAUCUCCAAAGUCCAGAGUUAGGAUGAACCCUUGGUUCUGGAGGUCGCCAGGGAGAUGACUUCAGACUCAUUUUGCACUGCACUGCUGCUCACCUCCAGCUCAGUUCUGCCAUCCCCACCUUGCAAUGCCAUCGCCAGCAGCAACGUCAGGCUGUUCUCUGUCAUCUUGUUAGCAAGGAAGACAGCCCCGCAGGAGGCAAGGACAUGUACCACAAUCACCACCAGGCCUCCUCAGACCUGGGUAGCCUGUGGGUAAACCCACAUCCACCCAAAAGCUAGAAGGGAAACAUGAGGGCACUGGGGAACUGUCAUGCCAGCAUGAACGACAUGGUUUCAGGCUGAUACCUCCCUCGAAGGUCUGCAGUGCCUCAAGACACAACAAAUGACACAGCAGUCCCAAAGGCUGGCAGCAGGGCUGCAGCUGUCGCCAUCCCAGUGCCAGCGAGAACCGGGAGCUUGCGUUACCGCGCACGCUGGGAGCAAACACCACGAGGAUGCUGUGGCUGACUCGCACAGCGAGGCUUGUCCUCGCAGAGGGACCAGCAGGUACAUGGGCGGCCGCAGCUGAGCAGAGCCCCCUCAGCACCAGAGGAGCAGCAGCCUGCAGCCCACAGCAGCACUGCUCUGCCCUCGCUCCUCCGCUGCUCCACUGCAAAGGUCUGUGGGGAAUGAGGCUCGAAAGACAGAACCUACCAGGAGCACAGCACAGUGACAAAGGGUAGAUUGGGGUAUCCACAGCUCUCAGCACAGGGGAGGCUCCCCAGGGAGGACAAGGUGAUGGGGUGCAGCCUGGGAGACAGUUAUGAGACAUACACCAUGAAACAGAGAUGAGCCCCAGGGGAAAUCUUUGGGCACCCUGUGCCAGCGCCUCACCACCCUCAUGGGGAAGAAUUUCUGCCUAAGAGCUCAUCUCAGUCUCCCCUCUGGCAGGUUAAAACCAGCAAGGAAUGGGGCAGCAGAGAAUUAAAAAUAAAGCCUC
Molecule: long non-coding RNA, 2257 nt
Organism: Strigops habroptila (Kakapo)
Lineage: Eukaryota; Metazoa; Chordata; Aves; Psittaciformes; Psittacidae
Exons: 3
Source: RefSeq, a predicted model, not a curated record